RNAcentral lists this ribosomal RNA (478 nucleotides) under uncultured bacterium. RNAcentral describes it as "partial 16S ribosomal RNA". It matches the Rfam family "Bacterial small subunit ribosomal RNA", at positions 28 to 523 of the family's 1533-position model. The record is from RNAcentral.
GACGAACGCUGGCGGCGUGCUUAACACAUGCAAGUCGAACGGUAAGGCCCUUCGGGGUACACGAGUGGCGAACGGGUGAGUAACACGUGGGUGAUCUGCCCUGCACUUCGGGAUAAGCCUGGGAAACUGGGUCUAAUACCGGAUAGGACUCCUGGCUUCAUGGUUGGGGGUGGAAAGCUUUUGCGGUGGGGGAUGGGCCCGCGGCCUAUCAGCUUGUUUGUGGGGUAAUGGCCUACCAAGGCGACGACGGGUAGCCGGCCUGAGAGGGUGACCGGUCACACUGGGACUGAGAUACGGCCCAGACUCCUACGGGAGGCAGCAGUGGGGAAUAUUGCACAAUGGGCGCAAGCCUGAUGCAGCGACGCCGCGUGAGGGAUGACGGCCUUCGGGUUGUAAACCUCUUUCAGCUAUGACGAAGCGCAAGUGACGGUAGUAGCAGAAGAAGGACCGGCCAACUACGUGCCAGCAGCCGCGGUAA